This 253-nucleotide ribosomal RNA is filed under the name uncultured bacterium. Its description in RNAcentral is "partial 16S ribosomal RNA". It matches the Rfam family "Bacterial small subunit ribosomal RNA", at positions 524 to 776 of the family's 1533-position model. The record is from RNAcentral.
UACGUAGGUGACAAGCGUUGUCCGGAUUUACUGGGCGUAAAGAGCGCGCAGGCGGUCGUCCAAGUCGCGUGUGAAAGCCCCCGGCUCAACUGGGGAGGGUCACGCGAUACUGGUCGACUCGAAGGCAGGAGAGGGUAGUGGAAUUCCCGGUGUAGUGGUGAAAUGCGUAGAUAUCGGGAGGAACACCAGUGGCGAAGGCGACUACCUGGCCUGUUCUUGACGCUGAGGCGCGAAAGCUAGGGGAGCAAACGGG